UAGGGAGGGGCUCGUUGUCUUGGUUGGUUGCUCCCUCGUUGCUCCAGCACCUCGACUCUUGGCUGUCCAAGGACAGUUGCCUCCUUCCCCAUGACUCAUGGGCCUACAACUGAGCAGCAGGAAUAUUCCAUUCAGAGAUCACUGCAUUCAGCCAUCUGAUUCUUCAAGAAGCUCAACCAGACCUUCCCAUCAUCAAUGAGAGAGAUGCAGGUGCUAAGAUUCUCAACACCAAGCUGAUGGGAUAGCAACUCAGGCUUACCUGGACCGACUAGAUGGACCACGUAACCCUCUCCUACAUAGACAGCCCAGUGCAAGUAGACUUUGCGAGAAAUCUCAAUGAGGUCUCCAGGCUGUGGGUUAUCACUUGACUGCAAUAGAAGAACCAGAGAGACUCUAGAAAGGUUUGCAGAAAAUAGCAGUGAUUUGGCAUCUGUAGCAACAACUUACUGCAGAACUGCCCACUCACCCACGGGCAGUGCCAGGUGAGAACGCAAGGAGGGAAGACUCUGAACUGUUCCUCUGGUAGAUUCACCAGAGAAUCCCUAGCAGAGACAUCAGGAACAGGUUUUGGCCUUGGUAUGCAUUGGUUUCAUGACCUCUGUGUGUGUGAAUCUGGAGGUGUGUGACUGUACCUGUACACACAUAUACAAGGCAAAGCAGCCCUUUAGGCGA
This is a long non-coding RNA of Ochotona princeps (American pika), 672 nucleotides long. RefSeq lists it as uncharacterized. The transcript has 3 exons. Lineage: Eukaryota; Metazoa; Chordata; Mammalia; Lagomorpha; Ochotonidae. The record is from RefSeq and is a predicted model, not a curated record.